Molecule: transfer RNA, 72 nt
Filed under: Urocitellus parryii (Arctic ground squirrel)
Lineage: Eukaryota; Metazoa; Chordata; Mammalia; Rodentia; Sciuridae
Also listed under: 1 other name
Description: Spermophilus parryii (Arctic ground squirrel) tRNA
Rfam family: tRNA
About the family: Transfer RNA (tRNA) molecules are approximately 80 nucleotides in length.
Source: Rfam by way of RNAcentral
UGGGUUGUGGCUCAGUGGUAGAGUGCUUGCCUAGCAUGCACAAGGCACUGGGUUUGAUCCUCAGCACCACAU